GAUACCCUAUUAUUAUAAAUAUAAAGUUUAACUAGAUUAGUAGUAGUUAUGUUCUUGAAAAUUAAAAAUUUUGGCGGUUUUUUAGUCUAUUCAGAGGAACCUGUUCUAUAAAUGAUAGUCCACGAUUUAAAUGUCCUUUAUUAUUAAUUUGUAUAUCGUCGUAGUUUGAAUAUUUUAAAAGAAUUUAAAUAUUCAAAAUUUAUUUAAAUAAAAAAUAUCAGAUCAAGGUAUAGUUUAUAUAAAGGUAGAAAUGGGUUACAUUAAUUUUAAUUUUGGAUUAUUAAUUUAAAAUUAAUAUAAAAAAGGAUUUGAUAGUAAUUUUUAAAAAUUUUUAAAAUGAUUUUAGCUCUAAAAAAUGCACAUAUCG
Molecule: ribosomal RNA, 367 nt
Filed under: Goes tigrinus (white oak borer)
Lineage: Eukaryota; Metazoa; Arthropoda; Insecta; Coleoptera; Cerambycidae
Description: partial 12S ribosomal RNA
Source: RNAcentral